AUGCUGCGUAUAACUGAUAUUAACUAUAUGUCUCAGCGAUACCGUCUGGGCAGAACUAUUGUUCCAGCCACCAAAGAAAGAUUCGCAAAUAACCUGCCUGAUCUAUCUCAACUGCUAAUUGUACCCAAAAAUACACAUGAAUUAGACGAAAUGACUGACAACAUGGGCACUAUUUUCUCUAAUACAUUAGAAGCUGUUGCCCCGAUCAAAUUGAAAAAAGUUAGAGAAAAACGUACUGUACCAUGGUAUAACAGUAAUACUCACUCUCUUAAGAAAGAAACUCGUAGUCUUGAACGCAAAUGGAGAAAAACUAACUUGGAAGUUUUUAGGAUUGCAUGGAAAAACAGUAUGUCCAGCUAUAGACAGGCUCUAAAAACUGCUAGGGCAGAGCAUAUACACAAACUCAUUGAAAAUAACCAAAACAAUCCAAGGUUUUUAUUUAGCACAGUGGCUAAAUUAACAAAUUACCAGACGCCACCUGAUUCAAAUAUUCCACCAACGUUAAAUAGUAAUGACUUUAUGAAUUUCUUCACUGAUAAAAUAGAUAACAUUAGAAAUACAAUAGCGAAUGUAGAUUCUACAGCGUCUAACACUUCAGUUUCAUCCAUCGCACCCAAAGAUAAACUGCAGUGCUUUACAACCAUAGGACAGGAAGAGCUAAAUAAACUUAUCACUGUAUCUAAACCAACAACAUGUUUAUUAGAUCCUGUACCCACUAAAUUACUGAAAGAGCUGUUACCUGUAGCCGAAGAACCGCUUCUCAAUAUCAACUCGUCGUUAUCUUUAGGUCACGACCCAAAACCAUUCAAGCUGGCGGUUAUCAAGCCUCUUAUUAAGAAACCAAAACUAGAUCCUAGUGUACUGGCAAAUUAUAGGCCUAUUUCAAAUCUCCCAUUUAUGUCUAAAAUUUUAGAGAAAGUUGUGUCUGCUCAAUUGAGCACCUUCCUGCACAAAAAUGAUCUGUAUGAAGAAUUUCAGUCAGGUUUCAGGCCCCACCAUAGCACAGAAACUGCACUUGUUAAAAUUACAAAUGACCUGCUCCUUGCGUCAGACCAAGGCUGCAUCUCAUUUCUAGUCUUACUUGAUCUUAGUGCUGCAUUCGACACCAUAGAUCAUGACAUUCUCAUAUGA
RNAcentral lists this long non-coding RNA (1131 nucleotides) under Carassius auratus (goldfish). Its description in RNAcentral is "lncRNA (ENSCARG00000022421.1)". The record is from RNAcentral. Lineage: Eukaryota; Metazoa; Chordata; Actinopteri; Cypriniformes; Cyprinidae.